CACAACAAUGCAACAAUGUCGUAUUAAUGCCAGUGGUUGGAAUGUCAGCAAAGCGAGCUGUAACAUCAUUUUACAGUGAAAAAUGGACUGGACGUAGAAUCUGAAAGAUGUCGAAAAAGCGUGUGCAACUUAAGGAUCGUAUACUCGAUAACGUUGCGAAAGCAAUCAAAGAGGUGCAACGAUCUUACUUUAGCCAAGACACGGAUGAUGUCACUCCUAUUACGGAUGAAGACAGACCGUUCCAGAGACUUGUGGAGCAUAUUGACCAUGCAUUCCUACAUGGGUUGCGUGUCAUCACAGCAGGGUACUGGGGAGUGGUGCAGAAGUUCACGCACAAGGAUAUCAUUUCCGACAUAAUGGCUCUCAAUCGCCUGGCAACGGAUUUUGGACGAGGUCGUGCUUGGCUUUACCUUUCUUUGAAAGAGACAUCGUUGGAGAGCUAUAUUAGAUGUAUCCUUGACAACCCUAAGCUGGUACAAUCAUACUACCUUGAGGAUGCCAUUCUGCGAGACCAACAACGACUGAUCCUUUUGCAAACAUUGGUGUCAGGAUUGGAUUUUGUUCAGUUUGACCCUGAAUUGAAUAAUGCUUACUUAGAUUUAGUAAGCCACAUGCCAAGGUCAGCAACUAAAUUUGAAGAACAAAAUGAAGAAAAUUAUUUCAACUAUGACAGUAUAUCAGUUGGCAGCAGUGAAUCCGCUUCCCUAACUAACACCGAUAUGACAGACAAUGUUGAGAAAGAGAAUUUAACCAGUGACGUGAAAGGUAUUGAAUGUAGCGGAGAAACUGUUGUUAAUGAAAGUUUGGAGACGCACAGUACAAAAGAGGAUGACACCUCUACAACAAGUAGUCAAGAAAUUCUCAGAUCAUUUUCAAGGGAUGAGAAUGAUGGAGCUACUAACAAAGAAAAAACAAAUGAAAGUAUUUUUAAAGUGCAUGAGAAUCCACUAGAAAAAGUGAGAGGAAGUUUAUCUGUUGAAAAACCAAAAGAAAGUCUAAGUGUCUUACUUGGAAAAGUUGAUUCUAGUCUUGAAAGGCCAGACUUGACAAUAGAAAGUGAACUAAGAACACCUGAACAGGAGUCAAUUGGUGACCUUAAUGAUAGCCUUGAAGUAAUUCAUAUUUUUGAAAAAAAGAGUAAAAAAGCAAAACGUAAGAAAAGGAAAACAUCAAAAACAAUACCACCAAUAAUAAACAAAGAAAAACAUGAGUCGGUGAGUUUGAAUUCUGAAGAGGGCACUGUUAGUAUAACAAGUGAAGAUAGCUGGUCCAGUAGCCACGGAACUCCUAGAUCUUACAAUGAUAAUCAGAGCUUCUCUUCAAUUGGAGAGUCUAUACGUUCUGAAGAUCUUUUGAAUAGCUCUCCACUUCCUCAGAGUGAAAAUCCUUCCCCAAAUAUUUUUAAAGACUUGACGAAGAAUGAAAAUACUUUAGUUGGACACUUAGUUUCACCUUAUGUAAUUAUGGUGCAGGAAGACUCAAUAAUAAAGUCACCAAGUACAAAUUUACAAAAUAGUAGUACUAGAGAAAAUUACAAUAUUAUUUAUGAACCAGAUUUAGAAAAGGUGCUUACCAGAAAUUUAAGCAAAGAUUCUAUUAUUAAAACAUAUGAAAAGAUUACUUCAGAUGAGACUAUUCAUGUACAAAAGAAUAAGUCAUUUGAAAUUGAUUUUGAACACCAGUUGGGAGAAGGUUUGAGCCAAAAUGAAAUUGCAGAUGCCAAUGGAAGUAAUCUAGCAAUUGUUGUCAAUGAUGUUGAAAUUGAUAGUGACUACUGUCAAGAACAAAGAUCAAAACCAGAUGGUGCAGAUACAUCAUUUGAGGAAGUGGUUGAAACUUCAUUACUGCAGGAUGUAGAUAAAAGUCUUCAUGAUGGCAGUUAUGAGAGUCUGUUCACAAGUUCAGUUUCUCAGAAAAUUGAUGAGGCAGACAAACCUUCAUUAAAGUCAUCUGAGAGUGCAGCAUCACUCUGCCCAGAAGGAAGCUCUAUGUCACAGAGCCUCUCUGAUAAAGAGUCACUGCAAGACUCCAUGUCCAGAACAAGCAUUGAUAAUGGAUCGAGUAUAGUAGAACCUUGUGAUGAAAACAGUGAGUGUGAAAGAACUGCAUCCACUCAUGAUACCUCAAUAGCUUCAAAUCCAGUUAGCAUGCAGCCAGAACCAGAUAUUGAAAUGAAACUUGAUAACAACUGUAAGUUGUUCCUGAUGCUUGAAGUAUUUAAGAACCAGAGUGAAGAAUUUAGGAAGAUGUUUCAUCUAAACACCGGGCAUGGGGAAGGUGAUUUGCAACCGGUCUUUGUACUUUUGACUGAUCAAGCUUUGUACUUAUUAAGGAAAGGUGAUACUGAUUUGAGCUAUACCACGGAAGUGAGAGUUCCAUACAAUGAUUUGGAUUACAUUUCAGUGAGUUUAAAUUACCAAAUUAUUCACAUUGUUUGUGUAAACAGAAGAAAACAGUAUUGGUUAUCAAAUGGCGCUGAAUCAAGCACAAGGUAUUUUUUGGAUGAGCUAAAGCAGGUAAUGAAGGGAGGCAGCAGGACAAAAGGUCUACCAAGCAUACUUACAGAUGCCACGACACAGAAGAUCACGCUGCGCAAGUUUGUUGCUGAGCAGUGUAGAUGUGAGAUGGCAGAUGUCCAAAUUCUCCUGUACUCGUUGAUUCACUGGGAAGACCUAACUGACUCUCUUGCUGCACCUGACCUCCAGCUCUACAGGUCACCUGUGAUUAAGGAGGGCAAGUUGGACUACAAGACCCCUGGUUCUGCUCUAUUCUACGCCUACUGGAAGCCCUGCUAUUGUCUUCUGAAACACGACACCUUCCAUAAGUUUGCUCAGAAGGACGACUUGGAGCCGGAGUUAUCGGUACAAUUAAGGUCAAACCGUUUCGGAGGAUGUAGGCGAAUACGUAAUGGAGACAGGCCACAUGGUUUUGAACUAAUUCUAGAUGAUGGGUCUUCAUUGCAAGUUGCCUGUGAAAACGAAACUGAGGUUUCUGAUUGGCUGCAAGCAAUCUGUACCAUAGUUGCUGAAACUAUGACUGCUAAGAUAGACGGUCGAAGCCCUAUCCUGUGCCAUCCUUGUUGCCUAGUCGUGUCUGAAUCCAAGUUGUUUCUCUGCCACGAAGAAUCUCAGACACAAUUCUACCGGUUACUGGCUAGCUGCAAUAUACUUGAAAUUGCUAGCCUGGCUGUUGAUGACCGGCAGCAGGCUUAUGUCAUAGUUAAAUUUCAGGUAGAAGAUAGUGAGAAUCCAUGGGUGUUGUACUUCACGAGUGCUGCUGAAAAGCAAAAGUUUGAACUCGCAGUAGGAGAAGCAUGGCAGAAAUUAAACCAGGAUGUCUUGCCAAUCUUGCCAGUCAGUGACGAAAAGCUUAAGCAACGAUGCCAAGAAUGUUUUAUAUUGAUUCAGUCAUCAUGGCAACGAAGUGAUAGUCUGCUGAGGGGAAGGAUUGGCGGCAAUAUCUGGUGAAACAAGAAGAAAUAUUUUGGUGCAAGAAAAGCUACUACACAGUAACCCAGGAGUUAUUGCCACCUGUUCAUCUAUGACAUCCGAACCAUAACACAAAUAGGGAUAUAGUUAAUAUAAUUAUUUUCGUCAUAUAAAUCUGUAAAUUCUUAUGUAAACCUUGUUUUAUUUAUUUGGAAACCAAAAAUGUUGCUUUUUAAGUUGUGCCGAGUUGUGCUAAGUUGUGCUUAAUGUGGUCUAUUGAAAGUGGUUACGGCUAAGUAUUAAAAUAUGGCAUUGGCUACAAUCUUCAAUUUCAAUAAAUGGCAAACUUCAAGUAUGUGGAGUGUCUCUUUGACUAGGAAAUUAUUUGGAGGCAAAUGAGUAGUGUUCUUUGAUCUUUCAAUUUAAUAUUAAUGGACAUUUGUUUUAAUUAUUAUUGUCAAUAUAUAGUAAAAUAUUUUUGAAAAUUUUUUAGAAGUUAAGCUAAUUUGUAGUUUGAACUGUGCAUACCUGUAUCCAAGGUCAGUCAACAUAAACUUAUGUUGUGAUGG
RNAcentral lists this unclassified non-coding RNA (3997 nucleotides) under Anneissia japonica. RNAcentral's name for it is "pleckstrin homology domain-containing family M member 2-like, transcript variant X2". Lineage: Eukaryota; Metazoa; Echinodermata; Crinoidea; Comatulida; Comatulidae. The record is from RNAcentral.